This 75-nucleotide transfer RNA is filed under the name Candidatus Woesearchaeota archaeon. RNAcentral describes it as "tRNA-Arg". It matches the Rfam family "tRNA". From Rfam's summary of the family: Transfer RNA (tRNA) molecules are approximately 80 nucleotides in length. Their secondary structure includes four short double-helical elements and three loops (D, anti-codon, and T loops). The record is from RNAcentral. Lineage: Archaea; Nanobdellati; Candidatus Woesearchaeota.
GGGCCUGUGGCUUAAUCUGGAUAUAGCACUCGGUUUCGGCCCGAGAGAUUGAGGGUUCGAAUCCCUUCAGGCCCA